AAGGAUUAGUUUUGUGAUGGUUGCAUUUAUUUCUCUUCGACGACGAAAAACAGAGCUCGACGUACAUUUCUACUUCCUCUCCACGAAUUCAAAAUCGUCAAGAAUCGGUAUCGGAAUCGGAUUCCCGAUACUCCGUUCCUUUUCCGGUAAACUCCCAAAACCGCCGUCUAUUUCCGAAAACAGCUUCAUCCGAGCUACCAGCGUAAGUUACAUUUAUGUUUACUUCUCGAUCAUUCAGCUAUUCCAUCUCUGUGGAACACAAUCGUUGGGUUUCAUUUUGCUUGAGAUUGCUUGCUGAUUGUUUGUUAAUGCGUAAAUAUCAUUUUUAGGGUUUUAGUAGCUCAGCUGACUUCAUAAUCAACUGACACGAUUAGCUAAAUUUUUAUGCAGGAAGAAGUUGGGAGGACCUUUUUCUCCAUCGAUGGCUCGCUUAUCACCAUCGUUGUGCAUCAACGAUGUUCUGUCACUUCAUUUACUGGUGGACGUUCUUGCUAGGCUCCCGUUAAGAUAUGUGUUUCGAUGUAAGUCCGUUUGCAAGCUGUGGCUCUCGUAUGUACAGGACAACAAUUCGGGUUUCGUCAGCCGAUUUAUUCAACUGAAUGAGGGGAGAAUAAUGAUCUCCAUCAGAAAGAGAUGAUCCAUGUGGUGACGAAUCGAUGUGAAAUGCUUCUGGUACAGCCUUCCUGCAGCAUUCCUGUUACUGCUUCCCAGCUCUCACUGGACUUCCUCCCAUUCUUCAAUAGGUUGGUGUCUCCUGUACAAUAUAUUUCUUAUCUAAAUUGCAAACGAUAUCUUUCUGGAUAUACAAAAUAAAUACAUUCUUCAAUAGGUUCACUUAAUACUGUAACUACAAUCCAAAUUUAUUCAUAUUAUCCAUCAGACCAAACCAAUUGUACAAUACAAUCACACACCCCAAAAAAAUCAAUCUAAUUACAGAACAAAUUUCCAACUACAGUAUAUAGCUAGCCAUAAUUAAUUACAGCAAUGAGGAGAUAGAGAAGCAUGGGUUGAACAGAAGCUCUGCCGAAGAUGGUGGUGGCAUCAGAAGUACUUCCAUCGUAAUCAUCAGUGAACGGGACAUCCGACCCUGUGGGAGUAAUGUCAGCAGGAUCAGCCGGCGGCGUCUUAUUGGUGGACCCUGCCGGCCCUUGCGAACUCUCUGACGGCGAACUUCCUGGCCCUUCCGCAUCAUCUGGAGCAUUCGUUUUUUUGUCAUUUCAGUACAAAACAGAAUCAAACAUGACAGAAUUUUCGAAUUAUAAGAAGCUAAAAAUUCGGUACCUUUAGGACACUGGCUAAGGGGUGGAGUCCUGGACUUGCAAGCGCCAGGGAGGUUAAGAGCCAUGGUUCGGUUGAUGGUGAUGAAAGAAGGCCCACCGCCACUGACCAAAGUGCAGAGGCACUGUGGAGUUGCCUGGACCAUGUUGCUGAGCUGGGAGCAGCAUGCUGCUGAAGGACGACGUGGCGAUGAUGAUGAAGAGUUUGCAGUAAUGAAGGCAAGGCAAGGUGAUAGUGAUGCUAUGGCGUUUGUGCAAGUGUUUGAAGCACCGCUACCUGAAGAAGAAGGUUGUUGCGCCAUGGAUCCAGUCGCAGCCAGGGCGAGGAUUACUAGGCCGAACGUGCCAAGUGGAGAAGCCAUGAUUGACUGAUCGAUGACUGGAAGGAACGAAGUCCGAUUGUUACGCGCUUGGAUUCAAGAGGGUUUUUGGAGAAGGGUUGAGUGAAGGAGAGCAAUUGAUUUCAUUAAUGUAUAUAUAAGGGGAAGUAGGUGGCGAGGUGUGCAAUGUUUUGGUGUAUUGGGAAUUGGAGGAUCACCUACUUUUUGAACUAGAAAUUUGGUAGGGAGGAAGGUUGCUUAACUGAAAGUGUCUUUGUGUAUGUCAUUGUUCAAAACAUUCUGAUUCAUUCUAUGUUCAUUCAUUGACC
Molecule: long non-coding RNA, 1926 nt
Filed under: Linum usitatissimum (flax)
Lineage: Eukaryota; Viridiplantae; Streptophyta; Magnoliopsida; Malpighiales; Linaceae
Description: long non-coding RNA (LUSI_LNC007066)
Source: RNAcentral